GCUCCCUCUCUCCCUCAGGCCGACAAGUGGGACCGCGGGAUCCACUUGUCAGGUCCAUCCCCAACCUUCCUCCAUCCCGGCCAGCAACCGCCCGAAGCCGCCAUGCCGCCCGUUGCCGCCCACGUCGCCGCCGAUUCCGGGUCCUCCCGCUCACGCCCUCGCGCCCAAACCAAGUAAAAUCGGUUCCCCACCACCUCCUCCACCUUUUCCCCUACUUUUCCCCAAUUUUUGGCGCCAAAUUGAGCUCCACUUCGCCCACGUCGGCGUCCCACGUCGCCGGCCGGUUGCCGCCCGAUCCCGCCUCUCCCGGCCACGAUCUCCAUCCCCGAGCCCUAUAUAAAGCACCCCCGUGCUCCCCUCUUCCGUUUCCCCUCCUCGCCCGAGCUCCCCGUGCCCUUUCCCGCUCUCCCCGCGUCGCUACCUCUCUCCACUGUCGCCGGCGAGCUCCAGCCGCCUCUAGCCGCCGCUCCCGCCGUCCCCGCGCCGCGCCGCUUGUGCCGCCGGCAUCGCCGCUCCACACCGCACCCCGGCCCCCACCUUUCUUCCCCUAACCGUCGCCGAAACCCCACCGCCACCGCCGACCCGAGCUACAUCACCGCCAGCCACCUCCAGCCGCACGCCGUCGCCGCCUGAGCCGCUCCAGCACCGUGCCACCACCGCAGCCAGUUGCGCCGCCGCGAGAGCAGGCCUGUCCGCCACUCUUCUCCACCAAAACGGCUCCGCAAGGACGAGGAUGUCCUCGGCCGCCGCCCCUCUUCACCGGAAAUCCGCCGGAGUUCCCCUUCCCUUCGCGCGCCGCCGCCGUCCGCCGGUUCCCGCUCGCGGAACGCCGCCGGACCGCCGUCACCGUUGUCUCCCCGAGGAGCGCCGCCGCCUUCCCGUCCUCACCUUGUCGUCCUGUUCGCUCGCGUGUAGAAUCCGUCGUUUUGGAAGUCCGCGGUCGUGAGGAAAAGAGUUCGGAAGAUCGAAGUGAAGAAGCAAGGCAAGUCACACAUUCCCCUUGAGCAUUUUGAUCCUAAUUUAUAAACGUUUUACCGUUUGUAAAUAAACAUGCAUGUCUUGCUAAUUACAUGGGAUCCGGGUAUUACCUAUCUGCUUGCUUAUGCCAUGUUUACUUGAUAUCUGUCCCUUGUCAAUAUUGGGUAAUAAAUCGACUAGCUCAUGUUAC
This is a non-coding RNA of Oryza sativa Japonica Group (Japanese rice), 1168 nucleotides long. The record is from RefSeq and is a predicted model, not a curated record. NCBI's taxonomy places the organism in Eukaryota, Viridiplantae, Streptophyta, Magnoliopsida, Poales, Poaceae.